Molecule: transfer RNA, 60 nt
Filed under: Dilophotes sp. D LB-2014
Lineage: Eukaryota; Metazoa; Arthropoda; Insecta; Coleoptera; Lycidae
Description: tRNA-Leu
Source: RNAcentral
UGUGGCAGAAUAGUGCAAUAAACUUAAGAUUUAUAUAUAAAGUACCAUCUUUCCUUAGUA